GGGCGCAAGCCUGAUGCAGCGACGCCGCGUGAGGGAUGAAGGCCUUCGGGUUGUAAACCUCUUUCAGCAGGGAAGAAGCGUAAGUGACGGUACCUGCAGAAGAAGCGCCGGCUAACUACGUGCCAGCAGCCGCGGUAAUACGUAGGGCGCAAGCGUUGUCCGGAAUUAUUGGGCGUAAAGAGCUCGUAGGCGGUCUGUCGCGUCUGGUGUGAAAACCCAUGGCUCAACCAUGGGCUUGCAUCGGGUACGGGCAGACUAGAGUGCGGUAGGGGAGACUGGAAUUCCUGGUGUAGCGGUGGAAUGCGCAGAUAUCAGGAGGAACACCGAUGGCGAAGGCAGGUCUCUGGGCCGCAACUGACGCUGAGGAGCGAAAGCAUGGGGAGCGAACAGGAUUAGAUACCCUGGUAGUCCAUGCCGUAAACGUUGGGCACUAGGUGUGGGGCUCAUUCCACGAGUUCCGUGCCGCAGCAAACGCAUUAAGUGCCCCGCCUGGGGAGUACGGCCG
RNAcentral lists this ribosomal RNA (505 nucleotides) under Cellulosimicrobium funkei. RNAcentral's name for it is "bacterial SSU rRNA". It matches the Rfam family "Bacterial small subunit ribosomal RNA", at positions 373 to 888 of the family's 1533-position model. The record is from RNAcentral. Lineage: Bacteria; Bacillati; Actinomycetota; Actinomycetes; Micrococcales; Promicromonosporaceae.